Carcharodon carcharias (great white shark) is the source of this 489-nucleotide long non-coding RNA. RefSeq lists it as uncharacterized. Lineage: Eukaryota; Metazoa; Chordata; Chondrichthyes; Lamniformes; Lamnidae. The transcript is spliced from 2 exons. The record is from RefSeq and is a predicted model, not a curated record.
UGCUGAUAUUUUCAGUUCUUUCUUCAGAAAUUCAUGAGUGUUAUCAAGUUAGAACCACCAAACCACUUUCAGUGGUGGCCACUUGAUUUACUGAAAUGGCAGUGCAGCAACUAUCCAACCGGCACAGAGUUCUUUUGAUCGAGGGUUAGUCAGGAUGAAGUCUCUCCUUGAUGAGUACAAAGGUCUGCAAGCUGCUACCGGCCACUUCUGCAGGUCACUGCACUCUCUGAAAAAUUAACUUUGGUACUACAGAACAAGCAGAAUAUGUACUCUUUGCACCAGCAAGAAUUGCAACCCGACAGUAAUCUGUUCGCAACUGAAACUAUUGUUAACCCUGGCCCCAAUUAAUUAGACUCUGUGACUUACGAUCAUUUCUGUUCAUAUUUUCUAUACCUGAGUCAGAUAUUUUAUUUCAGUUAUAUUUUUUAAUUUCCCCACCUUCCCUGCAAAGAUUUGUGUCAAAUGAAAAUAAAAAAAAUAGAGCAACUA